This 1804-nucleotide ribosomal RNA is filed under the name Escherichia coli. RNAcentral's name for it is "23S ribosomal RNA". It matches the Rfam family "Bacterial large subunit ribosomal RNA", at positions 1031 to 2819 of the family's 2925-position model. Lineage: Bacteria; Pseudomonadati; Pseudomonadota; Gammaproteobacteria; Enterobacterales; Enterobacteriaceae. The record is from RNAcentral.
ACCGCCAGCUAAGGUCCCAAAGUCAUGGUUAAGUGGGAAACGAUGUGGGAAGGCCCAGACAGCCAGGAUGUUGGCUUAGAAGCAGCCAUCAUUUAAAGAAAGCGUAAUAGCUCACUGGUCGAGUCGGCCUGCGCGGAAGAUAUAACGGGGCUAAACCAUGCACCGAAGCUGCGGCAGCGACGCUUAUGCGUUGUUGGGUAGGGGAGCGUUCUGUAAGCCUGCGAAGGUGUGCUGUGAGGCAUGCUGGAGGUAUCAGAAGUGCGAAUGCUGACAUAAGUAACGAUAAAGCGGGUGAAAAGCCCGCUCGCCGGAAGACCAAGGGUUCCUGUCCAACGUUAAUCGGGGCAGGGUGAGUCGACCCCUAAGGCGAGGCCGAAAGGCGUAGUCGAUGGGAAACAGGUUAAUAUUCCUGUACUUGGUGUUACUGCGAAGGGGGGACGGAGAAGGCUAUGUUGGCCGGGCGACGGUUGUCCCGAUUUAAGCGUGUAGGCUGGUUUUCCAGGCAAAUCCGGAAAAUCAAGGCUGAGGCGUGAUGACGAGGCACUACGGUGCUGAAGCAACAAAUGCCCUGCUUCCAGGAAAAGCCUCUAAGCAUCAGGUAACAUCAAAUCGUACCCCAAACCGACACAGGUGGUCAGGUAGAGAAUACCAAGGCGCUUGAGAGAACUCGGGUGAAGGAACUAGGCAAAAUGGUGCCGUAACUUCGGGAGAAGGCACGCUGAUAUGUAGGUGANGUCCCUCGCGGAUGGAGCUGAAAUCAGUCGAAGAUACCAGCUGGCUGCAACUGUUUAUUAAAAACACAGCACUGUGCAAACACGAAAGUGGACGUAUACGGUGUGACGCCUGCCCGGUGCCGGAAGGUUAAUUGAUGGGGUCAGCGCAAGCGAAGCUCUUGAUCGAAGCCCCGGUAAACGGCGGCCGUAACUAUAACGGUCCUAAGGUAGCGAAAUUCCUUGUCGGGUAAGUUCCGACCUGCACGAAUGGCGUAAUGAUGGCCAGGCUGUCUCCACCCGAGACUCAGUGAAAUUGAACUCGCUGUGAAGAUGCAGUGUACCCGCGGCAAGACGGAAAGACCCCGUGAACCUUUACUAUAGCUUGACACUGAACAUUGAGCCUUGAUGUGUAGGAUAGGUGGGAGGCUUUGAAGUGUGGACGCCAGUCUGCAUGGAGCCGACCUUGAAAUACCACCCUUUAAUGUUUGAUGUUCUAACGUUGACCCGUAAUCCGGGUUGCGGACAGUGUCUGGUGGGUAGUUUGACUGGGGCGGUCUCCUCCUAAAGAGUAACGGAGGAGCACGAAGGUUGGCUAAUCCUGGUCGGACAUCAGGAGGUUAGUGCAAUGGCAUAAGCCAGCUUGACUGCGAGCGUGACGGCGCGAGCAGGUGCGAAAGCAGGUCAUAGUGAUCCGGUGGUUCUGAAUGGAAGGGCCAUCGCUCAACGGAUAAAAGGUACUCCGGGGAUAACAGGCUGAUACCGCCCAAGAGUUCAUAUCGACGGCGGUGUUUGGCACCUCGAUGUCGGCUCAUCACAUCCUGGGGCUGAAGUAGGUCCCAAGGGUAUGGCUGUUCGCCAUUUAAAGUGGUACGCGAGCUGGGUUUAGAACGUCGUGAGACAGUUCGGUCCCUAUCUGCCGUGGGCGCUGGAGAACUGAGGGGGGCUGCUCCUAGUACGAGAGGACCGGAGUGGACGCAUCACUGGUGUUCGGGUUGUCAUGCCAAUGGCACUGCCCGGUAGCUAAAUGCGGAAGAGAUAAGUGCUGAAAGCAUCUAAGCACGAAACUUGCCCCGAGAUGAGUUCUCCCUGAC